RNAcentral lists this long non-coding RNA (808 nucleotides) under Ananas comosus (pineapple). RNAcentral's name for it is "long non-coding RNA (ACOM_LNC017294)". The record is from RNAcentral. Lineage: Eukaryota; Viridiplantae; Streptophyta; Magnoliopsida; Poales; Bromeliaceae.
UUGUAACAGUGUCAAGUUAAGUGCUAUAACUUUGUACUUUAAGAGGAUAAAAUAGAGGUUUUUAAAAGACAGAGGAUAAAGUGUAAAAGAGAAUAUUUAUAGAGAUGUUUUAUGCAUCUCACCUCUCUCCUACUCUCUUUCUCCUUUUUCUUUCUUCCUUUACUCUCUUUCUUUUCUUCUUCACCAUAGCUCUCUCCUUUUCUCCCCCUAUCCUCUCCAUCCUUGCCUCAUGGAGCCAACCAUCCCUUAAUUCUGGGCUCUGAUGAAGUUCGAGAACUGGCAAUUAUAGCAGUAGAAGUUGAGAUGGCAGAGUUCACCUAUAUAUUCUUCGACUCCGAGAUUUGAAAUAUGAGUAGCUUGCUGUGUGUGUUACUUUACACCAAGAUUUUAAGUGUCCGUCAGCACAGACCGUAUCCACCAUGCCGUACCGUGCCAACAAGAUACAGGCACGAUACAGAUCCCGUGCUAAUGGCACAGCUCAAAACCCUCUAUUCUUUAAAUUAGUAAAUAAUUUCCUCAAUAAAGUUCAAAAGAUAUGAUAAAACGAUAUAAUAAAUAGUUAGAAUAUUUUAUUGCUAAAGAAAAUAAAUAUUUUUUACUAUUAUGUGUCGGCACAUAAGAAUUUUUUUGACCGGCACGUAUCGGCAUGGCUCGGCACGCACCGUGCCGGCAAGUUUCCGGCACGGUCCUGUGCCACGGCACUUAAAUCCUUGCUUUACACCCUUGUUUUGAUCAUUUUUGAGUGUUUUGGCAUUAUUUUGGGCUGUGAUUGAAAAUAUUUUGGUCUUAUUUUUGUUGUUCUGCUAUG